This 258-nucleotide ribosomal RNA is filed under the name uncultured bacterium. Its description in RNAcentral is "partial 16S ribosomal RNA". It matches the Rfam family "Bacterial small subunit ribosomal RNA", at positions 511 to 769 of the family's 1533-position model. The record is from RNAcentral.
GCAGCCGCGGUAAUACGGAGGGUGCAAGCGUUAAUCGGAAUUACGGGGCGUAAAGGGUGCGUAGGUGGUUUCUUAAGUCAGAGGUGAAAGGCUACGGCUCAACCGUAGUAAGCCUUUGAAACUGGGGAACUUGAGUGCAGGAGAGGAGAGUGGAAUUCCUAGUGUAGCGGUGAAAUGCGUAGAUAUUAGGAGGAACACCAGUUGCGAAGGCGGCUCUCUGGUCUGUAACUGACGCUGAGGCUCGAAAGCGUGGGGAGC